This 429-nucleotide ribosomal RNA is filed under the name Acidobacteriota bacterium. RNAcentral's name for it is "Acidobacteria bacterium partial 16S ribosomal RNA". It matches the Rfam family "Bacterial small subunit ribosomal RNA", at positions 355 to 776 of the family's 1533-position model. Lineage: Bacteria; Pseudomonadati; Acidobacteriota. The record is from RNAcentral.
UGGGGAAUUUUGGACAAUGGGGGAAACCCUGAUCCAGCCAUCCCGCGUGUGCGAUGAAGGCCUUCGGGUUGUAAAGCACUUUUGGCAGGAAAGACACGUCAUGGGUUAAUACCCCGUGAAACUGACGGUACCUGCAGAAUAAGCACCGGCUAACUACGUGCCAGCAGCCGCGGUAAUACGUAGGGUGCAAGCGUUAAUCGGAAUUACUGGGCGUAAAGCGUGCGCAGGCGGUUCGGAAAGAAAGAUGUGAAAUCCCAGAGCUCAACUUUAGAACUGCAUUUUUAACUACCGGGCUAGAGUGUGUCAGAGGGAGGUGGAAUUCCGCGUGUAGCAGUGAAAUGCGUAGAUAUGCGGAGGAACACCGAUGGCGAAGGCAGCCUCCUGGGAUAACACUGACGCUCAUGCACGAAAGCGUGGGGAGCAAACAGG